CUCAACCACAACACACAAAACAAAUGGGGGAGAGAGCUCUAAAAAACCAAUCCCACAAUCACUCAUACCCGAAGAAUGGAAGGUCAGAUCCCUAGAGGUAAAAUAUAUAUCUUUGGUGGCGGGAUGAUGUUGCUCCGGUGAAGAAAAUGGCGAUCGAAUCUCACCUCAAGUAAGGAGGCGUCGAAAAGAAGCCUUUUCGGAUACAGACUCAGAUCAAGCAUUGAACUGUGGAUUUGCAAAAUUGCUAACACUAGAAAAGGUUUUUCCACUUUAUGACGUCAAAAGGUAUGUGUGUGUAUACCUGUUUCAUUAAAGCUGGUAGAGAUUUUGAAGCUAGGAUACAAUUGUGAAGUCAAAAUUAACUUGAAGCUGCAGUAGUCUUCCUAUAAUUUACAUAAGCUACCGAAGAUUUUGCUAAACAUGUUUAUAGGGCGUUGUUUGGUUUUUCAUUCUAUAUGUUUUUAUACUUGAUUGAAAUGAGUAAAAUACUAAAAUAUAGUAUACAUUCAGACCCAUUUAUUUCUUCAAAAUGAAUGCCCUAAAUAGGGAAAAUAAACUGCCAAUGGAUUAAAACUGAAGACUAUACAAAUUUGAACUUGAACAAACUUCUUGGAAUAAAAGGAUUACCGUCUUGAAAAAGUCCGGCUUGUCAGUUUUCUUAGUGAAACUAGGAAUGAGUCCCCAUUUCAUGCAGUGAAGAACAACACCUGCUCCGUGGGUACUAGAUCCAUCGUCUCGUCGAACAACGGGCAAAUUCAUUCCCGGACCAUCAUUAUACGAAGGACGGUAACUAUAUGAUUUUUCAACUCAAAUUCCAAAACCAGCCAAAAAAAAAAGACAGACGCACGAGAGGUUAACUUUACCGGUCCAUGUUAACAUGGCGAUUGGCGGACCGGGUCGUUGUUGCGAUGGCAAUCUCUGGGGAUGUCGUCGGCGCGAAUCGUACAACGAGCUCUUCCGCACAUAUCCUUUUGCUUUCAAUCGAGUUUUGUGAAAUUUUUUGUGAACUAAUGAAUUACUGCUAAUAAUUUUUUUUUUUCAGUUUUAUGGGCGACAAGCAAGAGCGGGAGUGGGAUUUUUUUUUUCGUGCUUCGCGUUAGAGAAAUCUUGUCCUAACCGUUGGAUUUCAGAAUGCCCGGAGAGUGGUGCUUCUAGUCUAUUCAAUUUUUCAAUUUUUUUAGCAUGAACCAAUUGGCCUCUCUAUGAGAAAUUGUUGUUAUUUAUGAGGAUAUGAGUUCAAGCACUAUAGAUUUAAGGAAUGUGAACGUUCAAUAACUAAAUGUUGAGAGUUAUCUUUAAACA
Long non-coding RNA from Hibiscus syriacus, 1302 nucleotides. RefSeq lists it as uncharacterized. The record is from RefSeq and is a predicted model, not a curated record. The transcript is spliced from 2 exons. Lineage: Eukaryota; Viridiplantae; Streptophyta; Magnoliopsida; Malvales; Malvaceae.